GAUAACUCCUUUUAUGAAUUUCACUUAGUGCUACCGAUUUCCGUGUUUUUCUCGAAAAGAAACGAUGUCUUCGUAUCCGACACAAAAUUAUUAUAGACGGGGUAACUAUCCCGUGUUAUCGGGCUGCAGGCAAAAUAAUGAGAUAUUGAUUCGUCCUCUUUUUCGAAAACAUGUAGACGAGAUGACGGCUGUGGCAAAUGCCAACUUGCCCCUUUCUUACCACCGGGCUUUUCUGGAGCGAGACUUCCUGAACUCUUCGUGUCGUGCUUAUGGCGCUUUCACGGCGCAUGGGAGAUUAAUUGGGCUCGUCUUUGGAUCACUAGAAGAACCUCGUCCCCCUAUACCUGUCCUGCAAAGGGGAACGUAAUAAACUUCAACUGAUUUAACUUCAGUUCGGAUUGUGUCCAAGCAAGAUGUUCCUGGUAAAGAUUCUUGCUGUCGAUAAGCCGUUCCGAAGACAACAAAUUGGAAGAAGACUCAUGAAUACAAUCUUAGAACAACUUGAAAGUUGUCCAAACUUACGUUUUGGAACACAGGCCAUAUACCUGCAGGUUAUGAGCGAAAACCUCGGGGCUAUUGCGCUCUAUGAGAGUCUUGGAUUCGUAAUUGUCACAUUGAUUCCGCAGUAUUAUUCAACGCAUCCAAGAAGGGAUGCGUAUGUCAUGGUUCGGGUACUUGGCAACGAUAGUGUCCACAACAAAUGCCAAAGAGCUAACGUCCAGCUGGGGCCAAUCACCUACGAAUAUCUUUGCAACUACUAAGAUAAAAGUGAAUGGUUUUAGCGAUACUGAUAUAUAUCCGACAUUAUCGGACAUCACUUUCGUAUCCAAUA
This is a non-coding RNA of Varroa destructor (honeybee mite), 832 nucleotides long. NCBI's taxonomy places the organism in Eukaryota, Metazoa, Arthropoda, Arachnida, Mesostigmata, Varroidae. The record is from RefSeq and is a predicted model, not a curated record.